This is a non-coding RNA of Podarcis lilfordi (Lilford's wall lizard), 79 nucleotides long. Lineage: Eukaryota; Metazoa; Chordata; Lepidosauria; Squamata; Lacertidae. The record is from the annotation of a GenBank genome assembly.
GCCCAUCAAGGAUAGCUCAGUCGGCAGAAUAUGAGACUCUUAAUCUCAGGGUUGCAGGUUUGAGCCCCACAUUGGCGCA